CCUACGGGAGGCAGCAGUGGGGAAUAUUGCACAAUGGGGGAAACCCUGAUGCAGCGACGCCGCGUGAGCGAUGAAGUAUUUCGGUAUGUAAAGCUCUAUCAGCAGGGAAGAAAAUGACGGUACCUGACUAAGAAGCCCCGGCUAACUACGUGCCAGCAGCCGCGGUAAUACGUAGGGGGCAAGCGUUAUCCGGAUUUACUGGGUGUAAAGGGAGCGUAGACGGUCCUGCAAGCCAGAUGUGAAAGCCCGGGGCUCAACCCCGGGACUGCAUUUGGAACUGUAAGGCUAGAGUGUCGGAGAGGCAGGCGGAAUUCCUAGUGUAGCGGUGAAAUGCGUAGAUAUUAGGAGGAACACCAGUGGCGAAGGCGGCCUGCUGGACGAUGACUGACGUUGAGGCUCGAAAGCGUGGGGAGCAAACAGGAUUAGAUACCCCAGUAGUC
This 440-nucleotide ribosomal RNA is filed under the name uncultured bacterium. RNAcentral describes it as "partial 16S ribosomal RNA". It matches the Rfam family "Bacterial small subunit ribosomal RNA", at positions 338 to 795 of the family's 1533-position model. The record is from RNAcentral.